RNAcentral lists this unclassified non-coding RNA (388 nucleotides) under uncultured fungus. RNAcentral describes it as "partial contains small subunit ribosomal RNA, internal transcribed spacer 1, and 5.8S ribosomal RNA". The stretch from base 1 to 73 matches the Rfam family "Eukaryotic small subunit ribosomal RNA", at positions 1759 to 1831 of the family's 1831-position model. The record is from RNAcentral. Lineage: Eukaryota; Fungi.
GCAAACUUGGUCAUUUAGAGGAAGUAAAAGUCGUAACAAGGUAACCGUAGGUGAACCUGCGGUUGGAUCAUUAGUGAUUUAAAAACUUGGUGUUGCAUUGCAUCUAGGCGACUCUAGUUCACACAAACGUGUGUUUCAUGAUGAGCCUUUAUGCUUGCAUCCCCAUUCACACCGUGCACAUUGAAUAAUGUAUCUUGUGUUGGACAUUACAAAGGCAUUCAUUCUUGGAUGAUGUCUGUCCAGCACAGCAGCUAUAUUAAACAUUGUUGUAUUUAAUCAAAGUCUGAAACUCGUUGUAUACAUUUUGUUGCAAUGUAAUAAUUGUAAACAUGAUUAAACAACUUUUGACAAUGGAUCUCUUGGCUCUCGCAUCGAUGAAGAACGCAGC